UGAUCUUUUACACAUUUGGAUGAAGGAAUU
RNAcentral lists this transfer RNA (30 nucleotides) under Cremastra appendiculata. RNAcentral's name for it is "partial tRNA-Lys". Lineage: Eukaryota; Viridiplantae; Streptophyta; Magnoliopsida; Asparagales; Orchidaceae. The record is from RNAcentral.